This 411-nucleotide ribosomal RNA is filed under the name uncultured bacterium. RNAcentral's name for it is "bacterial SSU rRNA". It matches the Rfam family "Bacterial small subunit ribosomal RNA", at positions 355 to 765 of the family's 1533-position model. The record is from RNAcentral.
UAAGGAAUAUUGCUCAAUGGGAGAAAUCCUGAAGCAGCCACGCCGCGUGGAGGAUGAAGGGUCUAUGACUUGUAAACUCCUGUAAAGAAGGAAAAAAUUCCCAUUAGAUGGGAGAUGAUGGUACUUCUGGAGUAAGCCCCGGCUAACUACGCGCCAGCAGCCGCGGUAAUACGUAGGGGGCAAGCGUUGUCCGGAUUUACUGGGUGUAAUGGGUGCUCAGGCGGAUUUGUAAGUCAGAGGUGAAAUCUUACAGCUUAACUGUGAAACUGCCUUUGAUACUGCAAGCCUAGAGUAUGGAAGAGAGCGAUGGAAUAUCUGGUGUAGCAGUGAAAUGCGUAGAUAUCAGAUAGAACACCAAUGGCGAAGGCAGUCACUUGGUCCAUUACUGACGCUAAAGCACGAAAGCGUGGG